This 228-nucleotide ribosomal RNA is filed under the name uncultured bacterium. Its description in RNAcentral is "partial 16S ribosomal RNA". It matches the Rfam family "Bacterial small subunit ribosomal RNA", at positions 107 to 334 of the family's 1533-position model. The record is from RNAcentral.
UGAGUAACACGUAAGUAAUCUACCCUCGAGUGGGGAAUAACGUCCGGAAACGGACGCUAAUACCGCAUAAUGCAGCGGCACCGCAAGGUGACAGUUGUUAAAGAUUUAUCGCUUGAGGAGGAGCUUGCGGCAGAUUAGCUAGUUGGUAAGGUAAUGGCUUACCAAGGCUACGAUCUGUAACCGGUCUUAGAGGACGGUCGGUCACACUGACACUGAAUAACGGGUCAG